This 1012-nucleotide long non-coding RNA is filed under the name Populus trichocarpa (black cottonwood). Its description in RNAcentral is "long non-coding RNA (PTRI_LNC003362)". The record is from RNAcentral. Lineage: Eukaryota; Viridiplantae; Streptophyta; Magnoliopsida; Malpighiales; Salicaceae.
UAGAUACUCUUUUAGCUUAACUCGUUCCUCGUGUUGCUUGCAUAUUUGGACACUCUAUACUCCAAGCUGUUUUAACAAAAGAAAAAAGAAGGCAGUCAAAUGGCCACUACUGCUUCUCCAAUGGCCAGCCAGCUCAAAAGCAGCCUUGCCUCAUCUCUAGGAAGGAGGCUUGUCAUCCCCAGAGGCAUUUCUGGAGCUCCAUUUAGAGUUUCGCCCAACAAGAGAAGCUUCACUGUCAAAGCCGUUCAAGCAGACAAGGUAAGAAGUAUUCUUUUCUCCUGCCUGCCUUUUCUUGUUGACCAUGUCUAGCUAGUACUAUUGUUGUUUAGAUGCUCCGAGCACAACCAGUUAGUUACUGACCAUGUACUUCUGUUAUGUCAAAAGUUAUAACUUGUAGUGGAAAAUUGAAAUGGAUAAAAAGGGCUCAUGUGAAAUCAUAAUAAGGACAUCCUUUGUUCAAAUCUUGCAGCCAACUUACCAAGUGGUUCAACCAAUCAAUGGCGAUCCCUUCAUUGGAAGUCUUGAGACUCCCGUUACAUCAAGCCCGCUGAUUGCAUGGUACCUGUCCAACCUCCCCGCCUACAGGACAGCAGUCAGUCCACUUCUCCGCGGAAUCGAGGUGGGGCUGGCCCAUGGCUUCCUCCUCGUAGGUCCAUUUGUCAAGGCUGGUCCACUGAGGAACACAGAGUAUGCAGGUGCUGCUGGAUCUUUGGCUGCAGGUGGUCUGAUCGUAAUCCUAAGCAUUUGCUUGACCAUGUAUGGAGCUGCAUCCUUCACUGAAGGAGAGCCAUCAAUUGCCCCAAGUCUAACCUUGACUGGAAGGAAGAAGGUGCCUGACCAGUUGCAAACUGCAGAUGGCUGGGCCAAGUUCACUGGAGGAUUCUUCUUUGGUGGGAUUUCUGGUGUCACCUGGGCAUUUUUCCUUCUCUAUGUCAUAAACCUUCCUUACUAUGUUAAGUAGAGAAAAUCUACAUUUUCCUUUGUUUGUUGCAACUCUCUCUGUCAAUGUAUA